Amaranthus tricolor (Joseph's coat) is the source of this 107-nucleotide small nucleolar RNA. The record is from RefSeq and is a predicted model, not a curated record. NCBI's taxonomy places the organism in Eukaryota, Viridiplantae, Streptophyta, Magnoliopsida, Caryophyllales, Amaranthaceae.
AGCCCAUGAUGGGGGCAUUCUCUCUGCAAAUUCUUGAAUCUUUCCCAAGCUUCAUAUAAAGAUUCAUCUGCUUCUUAGGAAAUAGGAUCUUACUCCUUAACAAAGUU